This is an RNA transcript of Anoplophora glabripennis (Asian longhorned beetle), 575 nucleotides long. RefSeq lists it as uncharacterized. The record is from RefSeq and is a predicted model, not a curated record. Lineage: Eukaryota; Metazoa; Arthropoda; Insecta; Coleoptera; Cerambycidae. The transcript is spliced from 3 exons.
CGAUCAAGGUUGUCAAAAGAAGUAGUUAAUACAAACUUACGACAUUUGCAACUGUCGUUAUUGCAUUUAGCACUGUGCACUUCAAUUUACACGAUAUUCAUUACUUAGCUAUUUCUAUUAAAAGAUACUCGGGCAAAAAUUAGGGAAAUAUGGCUUGUAGAUACUUUACACAAAAAAUAAGCUCUGCGCCCCUGGUGGAACGAUAAAUAUAAUCAGCAUUAUUGUAAUUUAUCGGUUAAGGCAAGAAGCGACUAGAAAGUUGAUCAUUCUGCCAAUUGGAGUUCGCAAUAUCGUAGACUGAAAUUUAGCCACCUGUACUGGAGUUCCAACAUAGGAGAUGGAUAUUUCACCAAACCCAACAACUCUCAGUGGGGCCCAGUGAUAAUAAUACCUCUUCUAGCGACAAUUAUUUUGGCCGCGAGCGUAUUCCUGCUGGUCAUUUUUAGGCAAAACCCCACCUUCGUCAUCACCACGAUAGCAGGAUGUCUGAUAUUUAUAACUAUAUACCUCACCAUAUGUGCCAUGGAGACGACAAAAGAAGUUUUGGAAUAAUGUAGAGCGUAUUAUAGAUUUAU